RNAcentral lists this ribosomal RNA (210 nucleotides) under uncultured bacterium. Its description in RNAcentral is "partial 16S ribosomal RNA". It matches the Rfam family "Bacterial small subunit ribosomal RNA", at positions 585 to 793 of the family's 1533-position model. The record is from RNAcentral.
AAGUCUGAUGUGAAAGCCUUCGGCUUAACCGGAGAAGUGCAUCGGAAACUGGAUAACUUGAGUGCAGAAGAGGGUAGUGGAACUCCCAUGUGUAGCGGUGGAAUGCGUAGAUAUAUGGAAGAACACCAGUGGCGAAGGCGGCUACCUGGUCUGCAACUGACGCUGAGACUCGAAAGCAUGGGUAGCGAACAGGAUUAGAUACCCUGGUAG